RNAcentral lists this ribosomal RNA (253 nucleotides) under uncultured bacterium. RNAcentral's name for it is "partial 16S ribosomal RNA". It matches the Rfam family "Bacterial small subunit ribosomal RNA", at positions 524 to 776 of the family's 1533-position model. The record is from RNAcentral.
UACCGAGGUCCCAAGCGUUGUUCGGAUUCCCUGGGCGUAAAGGGUGCGUAGGUGGCAGGAUAAGUUUGAUGUGAAAUCUCCGGGCUUAACCCGGAAACUGCAUUUAAUACUAUUUUGCUCGAGGGUUGGAGGGGGGACUGGAAUUCUCGGUGUAGCAGUGAAAUGCGUAGAGAUCGAGAGGAACACCAGUGGCGAAGGCGAGUCCCUGGACAACUCCUGACACUGAGGCACGAAAGCUAGGGGAGCAAACAGG